This 382-nucleotide unclassified non-coding RNA is filed under the name uncultured fungus. Its description in RNAcentral is "partial contains 5.8S ribosomal RNA and internal transcribed spacer 2". The stretch from base 1 to 133 matches the Rfam family "5.8S ribosomal RNA", at positions 22 to 154 of the family's 154-position model. The record is from RNAcentral. Lineage: Eukaryota; Fungi.
UGGCUCUCCCAUCGAUGAAGAACGCAGCGAAAUGCGAUAAGUAAUGUGAAUUGCAGAAUUCAGUGAAUCAUCGAAUCUUUGAACGCACCUUGCGCCCUCUGGUAUUCCGGAGGGCAUGCUUGUUUGAGUGUCAUUAAAUUCUCAAAGAAAAGCUACUUUGGUGGCUUUUCUUUGGAUGUGAGGGCUUUUGCUGGCUUUCGGGUCUGCUCCCUUUAAAUGCAUUAGUGGGAUUCCUUUGUGGAACGGUCACUUGGUGUGAUAAUCUAUCUACGCCGCUUUGACUUGACUCGGAAGCAAAACCUAUGGGAUUCUGCUCAACAAUUGUUCCUAAGAACAAUCUUAAUGACCAUUUGACCUCAAAUCAAGUAGGACUACCCGCUGA